AUGGGUUACCUCUCCUGGCCGGCGGUGUCCCAGAUCUGGGCCUUGACGACCUUGUCGUCGACGUGGAUGCUGCGGGUGGCGAACUCGACGCCGAUGGUGGACUUGGACUCGAGGCUGAACUCGUUGCGGGUGAAGCGGGUGAGCAGGUUGGACUUGCCCACCCCCGAGUCCCCGAUCAGCACCACCUUGAACAGGUAG
Molecule: ribosomal RNA, 198 nt
Filed under: Triticum aestivum (bread wheat)
Lineage: Eukaryota; Viridiplantae; Streptophyta; Magnoliopsida; Poales; Poaceae
Description: partial small subunit ribosomal RNA
Source: RNAcentral